CCAGUGUUCCUUGUCCUGUCGUCAUUCAUGUUACAUGGUGUUGGUCCCUCGUGGCGACCUCAGCGCACCCUCUGCAACAUGUCACCGGAGCAGCAGAGUCGUUGAUGAAGAGGAGGAAGAAGACUCGUCGGGCUGUGAUGCACACACAAUGAUACGUCUGCAGCUCAGAGCUCAAAGAUCUACACGUUGAUGAGUUCAUACAUCUUCACGCGCAGGAAGCUGAUAACAUAAUGUACCUUCAGUCUCACCUGUCCUCCGCAGCAGAUUGCGUAAUUCUUCUUGGUGCCGUUUGCAUUUCCUGGAACGUAAACAGACUGUGAUUAGAUUUUGCUUGACGGUGAGAAUCUUUCUUUUGCUGUGAUUCAGCAGAUUCACCAGCAGGUGAAAGACGAGAGUGAACUGUCAUAAACCCGAGCAGGAAUAUUGCCCUGGAGGUCGAUUAUUCAUCUGCAGUGACGGUAGUCCUGUGUGUGUACAGCGGGACGUAACACACACUCUGACUUUUUGCUUCAAUCUGAGCGUUUUACAUGAAGACAGAAUGUGGAGUAAAACGAGGGGCAGCUGCCUCCUCGUUUUCUCUUUCUGUCUCCGGGAGGUUUCAUGUGUUUCCUGUGGACCCUUCAUCCUGUGUGACUCCCCCAGAGAGAGGGAGGAAGCUGCAGCUCUUGGCUCGUGUUUAACGGCCACAUUUAAAUCAGAGUGUAAAUCUGUAAAAUCUUAAUCUGUUGGAAGACACUCUGCAAACUGCAAGCGUCCAACAAUCUCUCCGUGCUGCCUUCAAGUGACUCGACCGAGAGAAGUGAGGUUAUUAAACUGAAUAUCUCUUCCACUGCCUUUAUCUACAACAUAGUUAACGUUAUGAAAUCUUAACUCGACACAUGCUGCAGGUUUAAGACUUAUUAUUAAGGCUUGAACCUGCAGGCAAGUAAAGUUAUUUCUAAAUAAUUAAAAACUGAACUAGAACUAGAUGCCACUUCAGGAAAACAGGUUUUGUAUUAUUUGGUUGAACUCACCGUUUGUCUUGUGAGUUAGCAUCGCAUAAUGUUCUUACUCGUGUCUUGUUUCUUAAAAACCAGACCUCUCUGAGCACUGACUGCAGAGCGGAUCAUGUUUUUACAUAUUUCACCUCCAGCUGCUCUUAUUGAAAGUUUCAUCAAAGAAAUGUAACGUGAGAAAAAGAUUCUUCAUCGUUGAUUCGUCUGCAUCAGGUGUCUGUGCUGCAUCUUCCUGAAGAAGGUUUAGUUUCUUCUGUGUAGUAGUAGUAGUGCUCAGGAUCUUCAAACAGUUCUGGAUGUUUUAAAUCUUUUACUUAUUUUCUUCUGCUGUCUGACAUGCAGCUGCAAUAAUCCUGUUUUCUGCAUUAAUAUUACACGACUGUAAUACAUUAUAUUGUAAUAAACAUAUUUAUUGUUAUAUUUUAGUGCACAUUUUGACUUCUCUGUGUUUAUAUAAAUAUGUUUUAUUCUAAAAUGGAGCAACUGUGAGGAAAUUUAAUUUCCUGCUCAGAUAUGUAAAUAAUUAAUCAGCUGCAGAUCAGUUGCACUUCUCUUCAUCGUCGGGGAUGCA
This is a long non-coding RNA of Cottoperca gobio, 1566 nucleotides long. RefSeq lists it as uncharacterized. The record is from RefSeq and is a predicted model, not a curated record. The transcript is spliced from 2 exons. Lineage: Eukaryota; Metazoa; Chordata; Actinopteri; Perciformes; Bovichtidae.